AGAGUUUGAUCCUGGCUCAGAGCGAACGCUGGCGGCGUGCUUAACACAUGCAAGUCGAACGGGUGUAGCAAUACAUCCGUGGCGAACGGGUGCGUAACACGUGGAUAACCUUCCUUCAGGUGGGGAAUAACCCAGUGAAAAUUGGGCUAAUACCGCAUAACAAGACGAGGGCGCAUGCUUUUGUCUUCAAAGGCGCAAGU
Molecule: ribosomal RNA, 200 nt
Filed under: uncultured bacterium
Lineage: Bacteria
Description: partial 16S ribosomal RNA
Rfam family: Bacterial small subunit ribosomal RNA
Source: RNAcentral